Durio zibethinus is the source of this 1119-nucleotide non-coding RNA. The record is from RefSeq and is a predicted model, not a curated record. NCBI's taxonomy places the organism in Eukaryota, Viridiplantae, Streptophyta, Magnoliopsida, Malvales, Malvaceae.
AAAAAAAAUGGAAAAAACGUUCACUCUCAUUCAAACGGUGGCCACGGCCGGCGUCUUCUCCGCCGUUUCUUACUGGUACGGAUUCAUGUUUGGCAGAGAAUCGGCUCGUAAAGAACUGGGAGACUUGAUCGAAAGCCUUCGCCGCAAUAAUUCAAACUCCUCUUCUUCAUCAUCUCCCCCGCAUUCUUAAUCGGUAUUUCCCAGUUCUCUGACUUUGAGAAUUUUCUAUCAAAUGUGAUAUAACUGAUUGACAGCUUCGUUUUUUGUUUCUUAGUUGUAAGUGGGGGUUUAGUUAGAGGAAAGUUGGCUACUUUCCAAGGAAUUUAAUCAAUGGGAAGGAGAUUCCCACGUUUGGUAUGCCACCCACAUUCCCACGAAUGUGAUUUUACCACGGGGAUGUGGGAAAGUUAUGAAAUUUUUUGCAGUGGGAAUUUGGCAGGACAAGCUGGCUGGAAACGCUACUCUACCUUAUAGAGAAACUUGGUGAGAGAUGUCAGGAUCUAGGUGGUUGAUCUUGGUAAAUUGGUCAUUGUUUCGAAUACAUGGCUGAUGAUGCAGCAAGGAAAAGGAAAGUAUAUGGUGUCAUAUCUAAGAUUGAACGACUUACGGAGGAAGAGGCCAUAAAGCUGCAACAUGGAAGCAUCAAGGAGCUGUGAAUGAAUGACUUUCCUCCUCAAGUCUUGGAACUUGCCAAAACGAGGCAUAUCGGCAACAUAGUUAGGAGUGCUCCCUUGGACUUCUCUGGCUGUGUAUUUCAUGUGUUGUACUUUCUCUGUAGAAAAUUUUUGUAACGAUUCGACAUAUUGGGUUCAUUAUGUAAAACCUUUCUUCUAUGGUUGAAAGAAUUAUUGGAAACAAACUAAUUUAGGUGUACAAUUUCAAACAAAACACAUUAUGGAGCAGCUUAACAAUACAUAAUUGUGUUUGAUAAUAAGUGCCUUUGGCCAUUGUUAAGUUACUGAAUAGGUUUUUCAAAGUAGGGCAGGUUUUCAUGAUUCAACCAUAGUCUAUAACUUUUUCUUCUAUAAAUAAAUUAAAGAAAAUGAUCAAAUUUAUCACUCUGCUAUGUUGGGGUUUUAUAUUUACUGGUCACUGGUAAAUUAAAUAGUAAAUAUGAAG